CUCAUUUUUCCCGGGCUUUCGGUCAGCGUUUUCCUUUUCUCGCGGGUUUGGGCGCGCAUCGAACUCUGAAGGGUCGGGAAGGCCUGUCGUUGGAAUGUGGUUGAGUUCCAGGGAGUGUACAGGCUGGAGGAUGGGACAAGACCUAUCUCUGUAUCGAUCAAGCACGGCGUUGGUGUUCCAGCUCAUCACCAAUCCUAAGGAAUUCAAGUGCCUCCCAGGAUGAAUACAGGUUGUCUUGAUGGUGAUACAUUCAUCUGUCUUAAGAUCCCUGCUGAUCUGCUCAUGGUCAAACUCCUGGAAAGAGUUGAGAGUGGGGCACCUUGUUCCUGCAUCCUCAAAGGAGCAUCUUGUUCCUCCAUUUAAGCUUCCAGAGUUAAAAGGUACCUGUACCAUUUAGCGGCUUGUUCACUCAAAGAUCCAUCUUGUCUGGAGCCUGAGGAUGAUUGGAGGUGAAAGGUGUAAGCCAUACUCUGCUCAACUCCAGUCUGAAACUGAGGUUAGUAAAUAAAGAACACAUACUUAACACACGGGAAUCCAACUCUUGGAGGACAUCAGAAGUGGAAUUUUCUUAUACAACCUACCUAUUCAAAUUAGCAUAUAAUCUUUCUAGCCUUUCUAAAUAAAUAAAGGGAUUUUUUUGU
RNAcentral lists this long non-coding RNA (641 nucleotides) under Sus scrofa (pig). RNAcentral's name for it is "lncRNA (ENSSSCG00030011859.1)". Lineage: Eukaryota; Metazoa; Chordata; Mammalia; Artiodactyla; Suidae. The record is from RNAcentral.